CUAAGUUUGAUGGCGACCGGCGCACGGGUGAGUAACACGUAUCCAACCUGCCGAUGACUCGGGGAUAGCCUUUCGAAAGAAAGAUAAUACCCGAUGGCAUAGUUCUUCCGCAUGGUAGAACUAUUAAAGAAUUUCGGUCAUCGAUGGGGAUGCGUUCCAUUAGGUUGUUGGCGGGGUAACGGCCCACCAAGCCUUCGAUGGAUAGGGGUUCUGAGAGGAAGGUCCCCCACAUUGGAACUGAGACACGGUCCAAACUCCUACGGGAGGCAGCAUG
Molecule: ribosomal RNA, 274 nt
Filed under: uncultured bacterium
Lineage: Bacteria
Description: partial 16S ribosomal RNA
Rfam family: Bacterial small subunit ribosomal RNA
Source: RNAcentral